GUGAGUCAUCGAAUCUUUGAACGCACAUUGCGCCCUUUGGUAUUCCGAAGGGCAUGCCUGUUCGAGCGUCAUUAUCACCCCUCAAGCCCUCGGCUUGGUGUUGGACGGUUUGGUGGAGGCCCCCUCGGGGGUUCCUGCCCCUCCCAAAGACAAUGACGGCGGCCUCGUUGGACCCCCGGUACACCGAGUUCUUCACGGGACACGUAUCGGACACAUGGGUUUACGGGACACGGUCUGCCUCCCCUCAGGGAGAAUCUUUCUAAGGUUGACCUCGGAUCAGGUAGGGAUACCCGCUGAACU
Molecule: unclassified non-coding RNA, 300 nt
Filed under: uncultured Exophiala
Lineage: Eukaryota; Fungi; Ascomycota; Eurotiomycetes; Chaetothyriales; Herpotrichiellaceae
Description: sequence contains 5.8S rRNA gene, ITS2
Rfam family: 5.8S ribosomal RNA (bases 1-71)
Source: RNAcentral